GGAUUGACGUGAUGGUCGUGCCUUAAGGGGUAUGAACUGUCGCAGUUGAUUUCUCACCUUCUGGAGAAGCAUGAUGUCCUUAAUUGGGUGUCAUGUGGAACCAGGACCUUUACCUUGAAAAAAUUAGAGUGUUUAAAGCAGGCAUUUUGCUCGAAUACAUUAGCAUGGAAUAAUAGAAUA
Molecule: ribosomal RNA, 180 nt
Filed under: uncultured Glomeromycotina
Lineage: Eukaryota; Fungi; Glomeromycota
Description: partial small subunit ribosomal RNA
Source: RNAcentral